This 72-nucleotide transfer RNA is filed under the name Thermoplasmatales archaeon SG8-52-3. Its description in RNAcentral is "tRNA-Ala". It matches the Rfam family "tRNA". Rfam says of the family: Transfer RNA (tRNA) molecules are approximately 80 nucleotides in length. RNAcentral also lists the same sequence under 1 other name. Lineage: Archaea; Methanobacteriati; Thermoplasmatota; Thermoplasmata; Thermoplasmatales. The record is from RNAcentral.
GGGCUGGUAGAUCAGUGGAAGAUUGCCACCUUCGCAAGGUGGAGGCCGUGGGUUCAAAUCCCACCCAGUCCA